This 693-nucleotide ribosomal RNA is filed under the name Isochrysis sp. RCC5486. Its description in RNAcentral is "SSU rRNA". It matches the Rfam family "Eukaryotic small subunit ribosomal RNA", at positions 647 to 1340 of the family's 1831-position model. The record is from RNAcentral. Lineage: Eukaryota; Haptophyta; Isochrysidales; Isochrysidaceae.
CGGGGCGGGGCCGCCGGUCUGCCGAUAGGUAUGCACUGGCGGGCGCGUCCUUUUUCCCGGAGACGGCUGCUACUCUUAACUGAGCGGUGGUCGGAGACGGGAUGUUUACUUUGAAAAAAUCAGAGUGUUUCAAGCAGGCAGUCGCUCUUGCAUGGAUUAGCAUGGGAUAAUGAAAUAGGACUCUGGUGCUAUUUUGUUGGUUUCGAGCACCGGAGUAAUGAUUAACAGGGACAGUCAGGGGCACUCGUAUUCCGCCGAGAGAGGUGAAAUUCUCAGACCAGCGGAAGACGAACCACUGCGAAAGCAUUUGCCAGGGAUGUUUUCACUGAUCAAGAACGAAAGUUAGGGGAUCGAAGACGAUCAGAUACCGUCGUAGUCUUAACCAUAAACCAUGCCGACUAGGGAUUGGAGGAUGUUCCAUUUGUGACUCCUUCAGCACCUUUCGGGAAACUAAAGUCUUUGGGUUCCGGGGGGAGUAUGGUCGCAAGGCUGAAACUUAAAGGAAUUGACGGAAGGGCACCACCAGGAGUGGAGCCUGCGGCUUAAUUUGACUCAACACGGGGAAACUUACCAGGUCCAGACAUUGUGAGGAUUGACAGAUUGAGAGCUCUUUCUUGAUUCGAUGGGUGGUGGUGCAUGGCCGUUCUUAGUUGGUGGAGUGAUUUGUCUGGUUAAUUCCGUUAACGAACGAGA